UUUUCCUAAUCGGACAUACGGUUCAAAAGUUACGGUUGUUCAAAAUUUCCAAUUCAUCCCCCCUUUUUUAUCCAAGAUGGCCGCCAUUUAAUUAGACAUUGAAGUCCCUUUUGGAAGGUUAAUAUUGAUCCACAUUGACAUAUAUCAACCACAUAUUGCUUGUUUUCUGAUAGUGUAUACCACAUUCUAUUAUAGUACAGUUUAGAAUAGUCCAUGAUUUGCUCUCAAAAAAUUUAAAUGCUGCACAAAAUACCAUAAAGUGCUGUUUUCUG
This 272-nucleotide long non-coding RNA is filed under the name Mytilus galloprovincialis (Mediterranean mussel). The record is from RNAcentral. Lineage: Eukaryota; Metazoa; Mollusca; Bivalvia; Mytilida; Mytilidae.